CCUACGGGAGGCAGCAGUGGGGAAUAUUGCACAAUGGGGGGAACCCUGAUGCAGCGACGCCGCGUGAGUGAAGCAGUAUUUCGGUAUGUACAGCUCUAUCAGCAGGGAAGAAAAUGACGGUACCUGACUAAGAAGCCCCGGCUAACUACGUUCCAGCGGCCGCGGUAAUACGUAGGGGGCAAGCGUUAUCCGGAUUUACUGGGUGUAAAGGGAGCGCAGACGGCUGUGCAAGUCUUGAGUGAAAGGCGGGGGCCCAACCCCCGGACUGCGCUGGAAACUGUAAAGCUGGAGUGCCGGAGAGGUAAGCGGAAUUCCUAGUGGAGCGGUGAAAUGCGGAGAUAUUAGGAGGAACACCAGUGGCGAAGGCGGCUUACUGGACUGCAACUGACGUUGAGGCUCGAAAGCGUGGGGAGCAAACAGGAUUAGAUACCCGGGUAGUC
Molecule: ribosomal RNA, 440 nt
Filed under: uncultured bacterium
Lineage: Bacteria
Description: partial 16S ribosomal RNA
Rfam family: Bacterial small subunit ribosomal RNA
Source: RNAcentral